UACAGAGGUCUCAAGCGUUGUUCGGAUUCAUUGGGCGUAAAGGGUGCGUAGGCGGCGCGGUAAGUCGGGUGUGAAAUCUCGGGGCUUAACUCCGAAACUGCAUUCGAUACUGCCGUGCUUGAGGACUGGAGAGGAGACUGGAAUUUACGGUGUAGCGGUGAAAUGCGUAGAUAUCGAAAGGAAGACCAGUGGCGAAGGCGGGUCUCUGGACAGUUCCUGACGCUGAGGCACGAAGGUCAGGGGAGCAAACGGG
This 253-nucleotide ribosomal RNA is filed under the name uncultured bacterium. RNAcentral's name for it is "partial 16S ribosomal RNA". It matches the Rfam family "Bacterial small subunit ribosomal RNA", at positions 524 to 776 of the family's 1533-position model. The record is from RNAcentral.